Molecule: unclassified non-coding RNA, 253 nt
Filed under: uncultured Gammaproteobacteria bacterium
Lineage: Bacteria; Pseudomonadati; Pseudomonadota; Gammaproteobacteria
Description: contains 16S-23S intergenic spacer region
Rfam family: Bacterial small subunit ribosomal RNA
Source: RNAcentral
UACGGAGGGUGCAAGCGUUAAUCGGAAUUACUGGGCGUAAAGCGCGCGUAGGCGGCGUGGUCAGUUGUGUGUGAAAGCCCCGGGCUCAACCUGGGAAUUGCAUGCAAUACUGCCAGGCUGGAGUACGGUAGAGGGGGGUAGAAUUCCUAGUGUAGCGGUGAAAUGCGUAGAUAUUAGGAGGAAUACCAGUGGCGAAGGCGGCCCCCUGGACCGAUACUGACGCUGAGGUGCGAAAGCGUGGGGAGCAAACAGG